RNAcentral lists this ribosomal RNA (899 nucleotides) under uncultured bacterium. RNAcentral describes it as "bacterial SSU rRNA". It matches the Rfam family "Bacterial small subunit ribosomal RNA", at positions 8 to 916 of the family's 1533-position model. The record is from RNAcentral.
AGAGUUUGAUCCUGGCUCAGGAUGAACGCUGGCGGCGUGCCUAAUACAUGCAAGUCGAACGAGGUGCUUUUGUAGCAAUACGGAAGUAUCCUAGUGGCGAACGGGUGAGUAACGCGUGGGUGACCUGCCCCAAAGUGUGGGAUAACAGUCCGAAAGGAUUGCUAAUACCUCAUGUGGUCUUCGGGUUUAGAAACCGAUGACUAAAGGAGUAAUCCGCUUUGGGAGGGACCUGCGUCCCAUCAGCUAGUUGGUGAGGUAAUGGCUCACCAAGGCUACGACGGGUAGGGGACCUGAGAGGGUGGCCCCCCACAAUGGAACUGAAACACGGUCCAUACACCUACGGGUGGCAGCAGUAGGGAAUAUUGCACAAUGGGCGAAAGCCUGAUGCAGCAACGCCGCGUGAGCGAUGAAGGCCUUCGGGUCGUAAAGCUCUUUUCUGAGAGAUGAGCAAGGACAGUAUCUCAGGAAUAAGUCUCGGCUAACUACGUGCCAGCAGCCGCGGUAAAACGUAGGAGGCGAGCGUUAUCCGGAUUCACUGGGCGUAAAGCGCGUGCAGGCGGUUCGGUAAGUUGGGCGUGAAAUCUCCUGGCUUAACUAGGAGAGGUCGUUCAAUACUACCGGACUUGAGAGUGGUAGAGGAAGAUGGAAUUCCCGGUGUAGUGGUGAAAUGCGUAGAUAUCGGGAGGAACACCAGUGGCGAAAGCGAUCUUCUGGACCAUUUCUGACGCUCAGACGCGAAAGCUAGGGUAGUAAACGGGAUUAGAGACCCCGGUAAUCCUAGCCGUAAACGAUGUAAACUUGGCGUCGGUGGCUUAAACACCAUCGGUGCCGCAGCUAACGCGAUAAGUUUACCGCCUGGGGACUACGAUCGCAAGAUUAAAACUCAAAGGAAUUGACGG